GACGAACGCUGGCGGCGUGCUUAACACAUGCAAGUCGAACGGAAAGGCCCUGCUUUUGUGGGGUGCUCGAGGGGCGAACGGGGGAGUAACACGUGAGUAACCUGCCCCUGACUUUGGGAUAACUUCAGGAAACUGGGGCUAAUACCGGAUAGGAUCUCCUGCUGCAUGGUGGGGGUUGGAAAGUUUCGGCGGUUGGGGAUGGACUAGCGGCUUAUCAGCUUGUUGGUGGGGUAGUGGCUUACCAAGGCUUUGACGGGUAGCCGGCCUGAGAGGGUGACCGGCCACACUGGGACUGAGAUACGGCACGGACUACUACGGGAGGCAGCAGUGGGGAAUAUUGCACAAUGGGCGGAAGCCUGAUGCAGCAACGCCGCGUGCGGGAUGACGGCCUUCGGGUUGUAAUCCGCUUUCGCCUGUGACGAAGCGUGAGUGACGGUAAUGGGUAAAGAAGCACCGGCUAACUACGUG
RNAcentral lists this ribosomal RNA (468 nucleotides) under uncultured bacterium. Its description in RNAcentral is "partial 16S ribosomal RNA". It matches the Rfam family "Bacterial small subunit ribosomal RNA", at positions 28 to 507 of the family's 1533-position model. The record is from RNAcentral.